UAGGGAAUCUUCCACAAUGGGCGCAAGCCUGAUGGAGCAACACCGCGUGAGUGAAGAGGGGUUUCGGCUCGUAAAGCUCUGUUGUUAAAGAAGAACACGUAUGAGAGUAACUGUUCAUACGUUGACGGUAUUUAACCAGAAAGUCACGGCUAACUACGUGCCCG
This 164-nucleotide ribosomal RNA is filed under the name uncultured bacterium. Its description in RNAcentral is "partial 16S ribosomal RNA". It matches the Rfam family "Bacterial small subunit ribosomal RNA", at positions 355 to 511 of the family's 1533-position model. The record is from RNAcentral.